This 550-nucleotide ribosomal RNA is filed under the name uncultured bacterium. RNAcentral describes it as "partial 16S ribosomal RNA". It matches the Rfam family "Bacterial small subunit ribosomal RNA", at positions 355 to 895 of the family's 1533-position model. The record is from RNAcentral.
UGGGGAAUUUUGGACAAUGGGGGAAACCCUGAUCCAGCCAUCCCGCGUGUGCGAUGAAGGCCUUCGGGUUGUAAAGCACUUUUUGGCAGGAAAGAAAUCGUCGCGGGUUAAUACCCCGCGAAACUGACGGUACCUGCAGAAUAAGCACCGGCUAACUACGUGCCAGCAGCCGCGGUAAUACGUAGGGUGCAAGCGUUAAUCGGAAUUACUGGGCGUAAAGCGUGCGCAGGCGGUUCGGAAAGAAAGAUGUGAAAUCCCAGAGCUUAACUUUGGAACUGCAUUUUUAACUACCGGGCUAGAGUGUGUCAGAGGGAGGUGGAAUUCCGCGUGUAGCAGUGAAAUGCGUAGAUAUGCGGAGGAACACCGAUGGCGAAGGCAGCCUCCUGGGAUAACACUGACGCUCAUGCACGAAAGCGUGGGGAGCAAACAGGAUUAGAUACCCUGGUAGUCCACGCCCUAAACGAUGUCAACUAGCUGUUGGGGGCCUUCGGGCCUUGGUAGCGCAGCUAACGCGUGAAGUUGACCGCCUGGGGAGUACGGUCGCAAGAUU